AUGGUCAUUUGGGUGAAGAAAGCAUUGAAGCACGAGUGAGCCACUGUUACCCACCGCCAGUGAGAAAGCAUUGAACUUCGUCUCUUUCAUACGAGGAUUCUGGGAGGUACCAUUACCCACCGCUAGUGACAACCACUGUUACCCACCGCCGGACUUGUGGCUGGAAAAAUCACGAAAGUGAACAAAGACAAAGACAAGGAUAAUAAGAAAAGGCAUGUGUCUCGUUCAUCCCGUGUUGGGAUCCAGAUGAGAAAGCAAAAUGGUGUUAAAGCGAGAAGAGGACCAGGCAUGCAAUGGAUUUAUGUAGUUUUAUUGUGCGGCUUGCACUCUCUUCAUGUGUGAUGCAUGAGAACGUGAACCUG
This is a long non-coding RNA of Gastrolobium bilobum, 362 nucleotides long. RefSeq lists it as uncharacterized. The transcript is spliced from 3 exons. Lineage: Eukaryota; Viridiplantae; Streptophyta; Magnoliopsida; Fabales; Fabaceae. The record is from RefSeq and is a predicted model, not a curated record.